AUGGUGUACAAGCUCAACAAGGCACUGUAUGGCCUCAAACAAGCCCCUCGGACUUGGUAUGACACACUCAAAGACUUCCUGAAGAGCAAAGACUUCAAACCUGGUUCCCUGGAUCCCACUCUCUUCACGAAGACAUAUGAUGGUGAACUGUUUGUGUGCCAAAUAUAUGUGGAUGACAUUAUCUUCGGCUGCACUAAUCAGAAAUAUAGUGAAGAGUUUGGAUAUAUGAUGCAAGAGCAAUAUCAGAUGUCCAUGAUGGGUGAGCUGAAGUUCUUCCUUGGUCUUCAAAUAUGUCAGCAACGCAACGACAUCUUCAUAUCUCAAGAGAAAUACCUCAAAGAUUGCCUGAAGAAAUUUGGAAUGCAAGACUGCAAAGGCUACAUGACGCCAAUGCCAGCCAAACAUCAUCUGGGUCCCAAGGACAAUGGUAAAGAGUUCGAUCAAAAGGUAUGCCACUCCAUGAUUGGUUCUUUGCUUUAUUUAUGUGCAUCUAGGACAGAUAUCAUGCUUAGUGUUUGCAUGUGUGCCCGGUUCCAAGCAGCACCAAAGGAAUCGCAUCACUUAGCUGUGAAGCGAAUUCUUAGAUAUUUGGCUCACACCCCAACACUAGGAUUAUGGUAUCCAAAGGGCUCAGAGUUUGAUCUAGUUGGAUUCUCGGAUGCUGAUUAUGCUGGUGACAAAGUGGAUCGCAAGUCUACA
RNAcentral lists this ribosomal RNA (699 nucleotides) under Triticum aestivum (bread wheat). RNAcentral describes it as "partial small subunit ribosomal RNA". Lineage: Eukaryota; Viridiplantae; Streptophyta; Magnoliopsida; Poales; Poaceae. The record is from RNAcentral.